AACGAACGCUGGCGGCAUGCCUAACACAUGCAAGUCGAACGAAACCUUCGGGUCUAUUGGCGCACGGGUUCGUAACGCGUGGGAACCUUCCCUUAUGUUCGGAAUAACUCUCCGACAGGGGUGCUAAUACCGGAUAAUGUCUUCUGACCAAAGAUUUCUUGCCUUUGGAUGUUCCCGCGUUGGAUUAGCUAGUUGGUAGGGUAAAAGCAUACCAAGGCGACGAUCCAUAGCUGGUCUGAGAGGAUGAUCAGCGACACUGGGACUGAGACACGGCCCAGAAUCCUACGGGAGGCAGCAGUGGGGAAUAGUGGAAAAUGGGCGAAAGGCUGAUCCAGCAAUGACGCGUGAGUGAUGAAGGCAUUAGGGUUGUAAAGCUCUUUUACCCGGGAUGAUAAUGACAGUACCGGGAGAAUAAGCUCCGGCUAACUCCGUG
Molecule: ribosomal RNA, 433 nt
Filed under: uncultured bacterium
Lineage: Bacteria
Description: partial 16S ribosomal RNA
Rfam family: Bacterial small subunit ribosomal RNA
Source: RNAcentral